RNAcentral lists this long non-coding RNA (327 nucleotides) under Homo sapiens (human). RNAcentral's name for it is "HSALNT0028621". The record is from RNAcentral. Lineage: Eukaryota; Metazoa; Chordata; Mammalia; Primates; Hominidae.
UUGCCCAGGUCUGAGUGCAAUAGACAUGAAAGAGAUGUGGCUGGUGAUAAGAAACGACAAAUUCUAGGAGAAAAAUGUAUUUAUUUGGAAGAUGCUCACUUUCUGCAAAAAGGUUACAGCUUGUUUGCAACUGAAAGUAAACUGUAGCAAUGUGAUGGAUUUGCCUAUGUGUGAAAUGGAUCUUCAACAAGGGAAUCACAAAACGUUUACACUUCUAGACAUGAGCACUCCCAACACACCGUAGUCUGCCUUUCCAAUUUCAUCCAACUGUGAUGGAAGGAAGAAAAAAUUCCGUAACAUCAAUGUGCACUUAAUUGUCAGAGGGAA